UAAACUUGAUGCACCAGCAGAUGGUAGGUGGGGAGGCACCAGAAGGAUGCAAAGGAGAGAUGGCUUUAGCAGUGACAUUUCACGUGGAGCAGAGGGUUUGUGUGUCUGGCCCCUCAGAGAGGAGGGUAUUGCAGUGGAAUACUUGUGUGGAUGAGGGAGGAGGGAUAGCAUGGGAGAUGUUGAGGGUUUGGGACAGGAGCCAGCAGCUUAACCUUAAGAAAAUUAAGAUCUCAUUAAAAAUCAUGGAAAGGAGUGCAGUUUUGUAUUUGUAAUGUAUUUCCAAAGGCUUCUUCACAGACUGGGCUGAUCCCAGUCCUGGCUCUGAACACACCUGCAAUGGGGACUUUGACUCCAGUGCACAGACUCAAUCCCUCACAUGUAACAAGACCUGAAUUUUCUCAGGGCAUUUUCCUGUACAGCACUGUAGCCAGUACUGCUGUAACACUUCAGUGAAAAUGCUGCCGUGAGAAGCACUCCCAGCGGUGUAGUUAAUUCAGCUCCCCAGGAGGUGGUACCUAUGUAGAGAGGAGAAGCUCUCCUGUUGACAGCUGUCUACGUAUGGGGUGAGGUGGGGAGAACUACAUAGGUCAGAGGUGUGAAUUUUUUACAUCUCUGAGCGACGCACUUCUACCAACACAGGCCUGUAGUGUAGACCAGCCCUAAGUCAGACCUGCAUAAAGUGGGGGGAGGAAGAAAGAUAUCUCAGACCCUGAAUUAGAAUUUACCAUUUAUUUAGCAAAUUGCUGGGGCUCAGUUCUUCCCCCCUUUGCUCAGACUGAGAACUGACUUCCUUGGGGCGGAUGAGGUGGUUUGAUAAAGGAGUCUACGUAUGUGCAAUAGCCAUAUAAUCACCAAGACAGCUUAUUGGAAAAGAAUAUGCAAGUUGUGCUCAAUGCACCCAGCUACUUAAAGCACGGGUUCAGCUGGUGGGAUGGCAGAUGGCCUUUGUCACUCCUGCUAGCUCAGGCAUCCUGCAGCAGUUGUGUUCUUUCCCCUUUGGUUUGUAAUUUUUUUUAUCUCCAGGACUCAAGGAAAGUUUUGCUUGAAGGCUUCAGACUGUCUCAUUCCUAUGACUGCCUUGUCCUAACAAGGUGACCAGGAUCCCCCACACUGCUCCAAAGAAGGGAAGCAUGGGUGGACAGCUGCAGUUCUUCAUUUCUGCCUCCAUGGCACUGACAUGGAAAAUGUCACAAGGGGAUUUGUUUUGAAAGACUUUGUGAUGCAAAAACAGGAUUCUUAUGGAAACUAUUCUCUCAGCCUUAUCGUUAGAUAACAGGCCUUUGCUGAAAUCCACACAGGAGCUAGUCUGCCCUCUGGGCUCCUCAGUCAGACUACAUCCCGCAGAAUGCACCAUGGCCAGGGACUCUCAUGUUUCAAGAGAGGAGGCCACAGCACACGAUGGGAGAUUCCAUCUCACCUAUAGAGAAGAACAAGACCAUGAGGCACCACAGCAGCACUUCCAAAUCAAAAAAAUCUUGACCGAAUACCAAACCAUUUCAAUAUUCCCAUUUCUCCCUCAACGCUGACAUUUGCCACAGGAGAAGAAUUUUUUUGUUGACCAGCUCUAGUCUGCAGCAAGUUCUAUAGUGUUGUAGAUUACAAAAGGACAGAGUCUAAAUGAAUUGCCUGGACCAACUGCUAAACAUGACCUUGGGCAAGUAACUUCCCCUUCCCGUUCCUCAGUUUCUCCAUCUGCAAAAUGGGGAUAAUGAUCCAGAGCACCUCUGUAAAGCAUUUGGAAAGUUACAGAUAAAGAAUGCAGAGUAAGAGCUAGUUAUUAUUAAAACACAUUUUGGUUCUAGUCAACCACUUUUAAGCUUUGGAAGCCCCCAAAAUCAUUUGGCCCAGAUUCUCAGCCCUGCUUCUGCCCCUUUGCCCUGCUCAGGCAGGGCAAAGCAGCCUAAAAGCUGCUCUACAGAGCACUCCAAAGGACCCCGUGGCAUAGGGCAAUCUCUGGGUGGCAUAAAGUCAGCAUAUCUGGCUCUAUACCACCCACUACCCUUCCCCCGGUGUACGGAGAGUGACACUGAGUGGGAGGAAGCAGGGCUGGAUACAAUGCAUUCUUACCGAUCAUCACAGAGACAACCGCCCCUCCCCAGGGAGUCAGUGGGAGUUUUGCUGCAGUUAGACUGCAAGAUUUGGCUGUAGGUCAAUAACAGACUGAUGAAGCAUCUGUCCCCUCCACCCAGUCAAGAAAGGUACUACACAGAAUUUGUUUGUUUCACACGCACACAGGUAUGAGAAGCUGAAAGCUGACAAUUUCCCUCCAGAGUCUGGAAGAUUACAAGAUUUCAACAUCUUUAAAAAAGGAGAAACACAUUUUAUAUUAUUAAGCUUGAAUUCAGCGCUGUAUUUUUGUCAUUUGCAUUUUCUCUAAUGCAUCAAUAUGAGUUGUUUUGAGUCUUGCAAGAGCAACACAGAUGCUCUCAAUUGCCUUGUAAGCACUAAUGUUUGAAAAAGAAGGGCACAACUGAAUUUAAUCAGAGAAACAGGUGUCUGCUUGAAGCAAAAUUUAAGGUUGUACUAAUCUAAUUAUUUACUCUCUAGGCAGACGGCCCACCCUACCGAUUACUGGUAUUUCUGCUAGCUUUUUUAAGCUCGCUGCGUAUUUCAAAUCCUACUACAGCAAUCCACUCUCCAAUUAUAUUUGUAUUUCAAAGCCAUAUCCCCCUAAAGUUACAGCUGUUGCUACAAAAAAAAAUAAAAAUCCAAAGGCUUCUCCGAGGACCCGAGCAGCAGUAAUGAUGUAGCUGCUGUUAUCUAAUUAAAAAAAUAUUAAGGAACAAUUGUGCCCCAUAGUCAUUAGAACUACUGCGAAUAUUUCACUUAAAGGGAAAGGUUCUCCAAAGCCAGGGUUUUAUUUAGGAGUUUGACUGGCACACAACGCAGGUAAUUUAGGAGUAGGCCUACAUGUGGUAACCAUUCAUGGCCCAAAUGGGGUCUUU
Molecule: non-coding RNA, 2945 nt
Organism: Chelonoidis abingdonii (Abingdon island giant tortoise)
Lineage: Eukaryota; Metazoa; Chordata; Testudines; Testudinidae
Source: RefSeq, a predicted model, not a curated record